RNAcentral lists this ribosomal RNA (527 nucleotides) under uncultured bacterium. Its description in RNAcentral is "bacterial SSU rRNA". It matches the Rfam family "Bacterial small subunit ribosomal RNA", at positions 777 to 1304 of the family's 1533-position model. The record is from RNAcentral.
AAUAGAUACCCUGGUAGUCCACGCCGUAAACGGUGGGCACUAGAUGUGGGGCUCUUUCCAUGAGUUCCGCGUCGCAGCUAACGCAUUAAGUGCCCCGCCUGGGGAGUACGGCCGCAAGGCUAAAACUCAAAGGAAUUGACGGGGGCCCGCACAAGCGGCGGAGCAUGCGGAUUAAUUCGAUGCAACGCGAAGAACCUUACCAAGGCUUGACAUAUACGGUCUAUCCCUAGAGAUAGGGAGUGCUUCGGCGCCGUAUACAGGUGGUGCAUGGUUGUCGUCAGCUCGUGUCGUGAGAUGUUGGGUUAAGUCCCGCAACGAGCGCAACCCUCGUCCUAUGUUGCCAGCGGAUUAUGCCGGGGACUCAUGGGAGACUGCCGGGGUCAACUCGGAGGAAGGUGGGGAUGAGGUCAAAUCAUCAUGCCCCUUAUGUCUUGGGCUUCACGCAUGCUACAAUGGCCGGUACAAAGGGCUGCAAUACCGCGAGGUGGAGCGAAUCCCAAAAAGCCGGUCUCAGUUCGGAUUGAGGU